UCUGGCAAUGAUGACAAACUUGCCCUCACUGAGAAUAUUUUCAGUUAUGAGAACCUUACUUGUACUCAAACAUAUCUGAGCCAGA
Chiloscyllium plagiosum (whitespotted bambooshark) is the source of this 85-nucleotide small nucleolar RNA. RefSeq annotates it as small nucleolar RNA SNORD103/SNORD85. Lineage: Eukaryota; Metazoa; Chordata; Chondrichthyes; Orectolobiformes; Hemiscylliidae. The record is from RefSeq and is a predicted model, not a curated record.